This is a non-coding RNA of Desmophyllum pertusum, 83 nucleotides long. The record is from the annotation of a GenBank genome assembly. NCBI's taxonomy places the organism in Eukaryota, Metazoa, Cnidaria, Anthozoa, Scleractinia, Caryophylliidae.
GCCGAGAUAGCCUCAGUUGGGACGAGCGUCAGACUGAAGAUCUGAAGGUCCCUGGUUCAAAUCCGGAGAGUAUCGUAUGAGCU